AUGAAAUGUGUGUGUUUGUGUGUGAGAGAGUGUCCUGCAGCUCAUCACAGGAGAGGUACUUCAGACCUGAGUUUGGCCCUACCCAACCCGACCUCUGACAAAUCUGGUGGCAGUCACCCUUCCAGUUUGUUCUGUUUCUCUUCACUAGUCAGAGUAUCUGCCAGACAUGAAACUUGAAUCAGAUCCAAGCAAAUCUUGUACGCCCAGAAAUCCCGCCAGGAAAUGUCACCCUGUGUCACUGUAUAUUUAAAGGAAAGUGUUUUCCAUCAGACUCUAAUGACUCAGAGCGAGACCGAAAGCUGCUCCCAGGUCAGUUGAACCUGUCAUUGUUUUUAAAAGGGGGUGACAUGUUUGGACUUGUACGGCAAACAGAAAAGACGUGGAACUCUGGCGUUUCAAUGACAACUCCAUAAACACAACUCUAGCAGGAGAAUGCACAUUUUGAGACCUGGACCACAACCAGAUUUUUUUUUUUUUCUUUCUGUAAAUAAACUCUUUAAUGGCUUUGAAUGCA
Cyprinus carpio (common carp) is the source of this 514-nucleotide long non-coding RNA. NCBI's taxonomy places the organism in Eukaryota, Metazoa, Chordata, Actinopteri, Cypriniformes, Cyprinidae. The record is from Ensembl.